UGCCGUGUCUGAAGAGGAACUGUUUCCUU
This 29-nucleotide non-coding RNA is filed under the name Homo sapiens (human). The record is from RNAcentral. Lineage: Eukaryota; Metazoa; Chordata; Mammalia; Primates; Hominidae.